AUAUUAUAUUUUUAUUAUUAGUUACACUAUUUAUCGCGUCUAAAAGUGUAGUGUAUACCAGUCUGGGAGCCGUUUUUCUUGUGGCGAUUUUUAAAAUGAAUUAUCUACAUAAAUAUUGAACCCACUGGGGGUGCAUCACCCCUGGCUUUCCCCCAUGUCAGUCCAGCAAUGUCUGCCUCCACUCCCCCUGUGUUUCCAGACCCAGAGAGUGAAGCAAAGCCAGAAUCAACCACAACACUAGAUAAAUAGCCAUUACUGUGACGAUGGAAUGCUGUCAGCGAGCAGCAUGGAAGACGCAGAGAGAGUGGUGGUCAGGUGGUGGUGGAGACAGGGAGAGUAUGUGGCCUGGAGAUUAACAAACAGAACACCAAUAAUCUUGUGACCUCCAUGCACCCUUCCUAAUGUCAAUAAAGUUGUCUUAUCAU
RNAcentral lists this long non-coding RNA (425 nucleotides) under Portunus trituberculatus (swimming crab). RNAcentral describes it as "uncharacterized LOC123502431". Lineage: Eukaryota; Metazoa; Arthropoda; Malacostraca; Decapoda; Portunidae. The record is from RNAcentral.